Molecule: ribosomal RNA, 426 nt
Filed under: uncultured bacterium
Lineage: Bacteria
Description: bacterial SSU rRNA
Rfam family: Bacterial small subunit ribosomal RNA
Source: RNAcentral
GUGAGGAAUUUUCCGCAAUGGGCGAAAGCCUGACGGAGCAAUGCCGCGUGAAGGAUGAAGGCCUAUGGGUUGUAAACUUCUUUUCUCAGAAAAGAAUUAUGACGGUAUCUGAGGAAUAAGCAUCGGCUAACUCUGUGCCAGCAGCCGCGGUAAGACAGAGGAUGCAAGCGUUAUCCGGCAUGAUUGGGCGUAAAGCGUCUGUAGGUUGUUUAAAAAGUAUUCUGUCAAAGAUUAGGGCUUAACCCUAGAUAGGCAGAAUAAACUUUUAAGCUAGAGUUUGGGAGAGGCAGAGGGAAUUCCCGGUGGAGCGGUGAAAUGCGUAGAUAUCGGGAGGAACACCAAAGGCGAAGGCACUCUGCUGGGCCAAUACUAACACUGAGAGACGAAAGCGAGGGGAGCAAAUGGGAUUAGAAACCCGAGUAGUCC